UGCCUUUGCAUUCACGAUUCAAAUCCCUAUAUUGGAAAGGCUUGUUAUGAGCUAUGGCGAUAAAUGACUAUCGGAAUAAACCAUUCGGACCCGGGGGCGGUACCCGGCGCCUCCACCAUUUUUCACCUCUUGGGUGAAACAGUUAUGGGGGCGAAAUAGGAUCGACGAGGGUGUAAAGGGUAUGUUUUUGCUCGGCAUGGUACCACCGUAUCGGACCAUUAUUAUAGUUGCAAAUGAUAACAACUAUGCUGAGGCACGUUUGGCUGCGUAAGCAGUUCGACAACCUCGAAUUCAAGUCCUUUUCCCCUAGCAGGGUCUAGGCGGGGUCCGCAGGCACCUGGCAACAGAAGCCUGCACU
RNAcentral lists this transfer-messenger RNA (358 nucleotides) under Devosia sp. It matches the Rfam family "Alphaproteobacteria transfer-messenger RNA". From Rfam's summary of the family: Bacterial tmRNA, also known as 10Sa RNA or SsrA, is named for its dual tRNA and mRNA-like properties. Lineage: Bacteria; Pseudomonadati; Pseudomonadota; Alphaproteobacteria; Hyphomicrobiales; Devosiaceae. The record is from RNAcentral.